GACGGAGGGUGCAAGCGUUGUUCGGAAUUACUGGGCGUAAAGCGCGGGCAGGUGGCUCUUUAAGUCCUUUGUGAAAUUCCGGAGCUCAACUCCGGAUGUGCAUAGGAUACUGGAAGGCUAGAGACUGGUAGAGGCGAGCGGAAUUCCUGGUGUAGCGGUGGAAUGCGUAGAUAUCAGGAAGAACACCGGUGGCGAAGGCGGCGCGCUGGGCCAGUUCUGACACUCAUCCGCGAAAGCGUGGGGAGCAAACAGG
RNAcentral lists this ribosomal RNA (253 nucleotides) under uncultured bacterium. RNAcentral's name for it is "partial 16S ribosomal RNA". It matches the Rfam family "Bacterial small subunit ribosomal RNA", at positions 524 to 776 of the family's 1533-position model. The record is from RNAcentral.